UACAGAGACUGCAAGCGUUAUUCGGAUUCACUGGGCGUAAAGGGUGCGCAGGCGGCCGUGUGUGUGAGGCGUGAAAGCCCGGGGCUCAACCCCGGAAUUGCACCUCAAACUACAUGGCUAGAGCAUUGGAGAGGGUAGCGGAAUUCACGGUGUAGCAGUGAAAUGCGUAGAUAUCGUGAGGAACACCAGAGGCGAAGGCGGCUACCUGGACAAUUGCUGACACUGAGGCACGAAGGCUAGGGGAGCAAACGGG
RNAcentral lists this ribosomal RNA (253 nucleotides) under uncultured bacterium. RNAcentral describes it as "partial 16S ribosomal RNA". It matches the Rfam family "Bacterial small subunit ribosomal RNA", at positions 524 to 776 of the family's 1533-position model. The record is from RNAcentral.